Molecule: long non-coding RNA, 1108 nt
Filed under: Macaca fascicularis (crab-eating macaque)
Lineage: Eukaryota; Metazoa; Chordata; Mammalia; Primates; Cercopithecidae
Description: lncRNA (ENSMFAG00000060875.1)
Source: RNAcentral
UUUUUUUUUUUUUUUUUUUUUAAGACAGAGUCUCACUGUGUUGCCCAGGCUGAAGUGCAGUGGCAUGAUCAUGGCUCACUGCAGCCUCGACCUCCCGGGCUCAAGCGAUUCUCUUGCCACAACCUCCUGAGUGGCUGGGACUACAGGCACAAACCACCAUGGCUGACUAAUGGAAAAAAUAUAUAUUUGUAGACAUGAGGUUUUGCUAUGUUGCCCAGGCUGGGCGUUAUUAUCUUGUCUGUAUCUUUAGAACUCUUACAUAGUGCUUGGCCGUCAAUAAAGUUUGUUCUAGGAAUGAAUUAAGGAAUGACCACCCAACUCUCCUUGCUACUUAUGUAAAGCUGAAGUGAGUUAAUGAAUAUGAAAGAGUAUUUAAAAAAACAUAAUUUAUCUGUUUAUUAGAAACCUCAUUGUAGCUAGCUGCCACAUCAGAAAUAAUUCAGCUAAACCACUUUUAUUAAGGUGUUGAUGUUUUAGAGUUAGCUUUAUGGGUUACGUCUGCCAGGGGCUACUUGUGUUUUUGUAUGUAGGUUUUGAGGAAGCAUAUAUUUCACGAAAAGAGUUUAAUUGAUCCAUAGGUAUUAUGAACAGUAGUGACAAGCAUAAUGUAAAAGGGAUUUUUUGAACAAAACAGGGCUUUCUGGGUUUCUUCAAGCAGGAAAUAAAAAUCUGCCAGUUUGAAUCGUUUCCAAAAAUGCCGCGACUACAGCAUCUUUUCUAAGACUCUUGGAAAAAUGCAAUGCAGUUGUGAUAGGCUAUAUCUUUAACUCACUCUCCAUUUAAAAUGAAGCACAAGAAACUGGAGACAAAUGACCAAGCUAUAUAGAGAUUGCGAGAAUUAGUGAUCAGCGUUGGCUGCAAACCAUGUGAGUUACGCUUUUCUUUUCGGUUUCACGCAGAAACUUCUCUCAUUUCAUUUUAAGUUGCAUCUGCUUUGCACAGUGUGUGUGUGUGUGUGUUUUUUUUUCGCAAAGCACCAUGAAUGAUUUAUGACUUUCUGACGCCACAUCCCACAAGAUUACAUAAGGAACAAUGAAAAACAAGUGAUUGAGCCAAACUUAAAAAAACCCCAAACAUUUCCAAAAUGGAUUUCAUCUUGACUGCAGUC